CGGCCUUGUGAGUGAAUAGUAACUGUUAAGGCAUGAGUUGUAAAGCAAAGCCCAAUUCCAAACCAUCCCUAUAUCACAACUCACAAGUAGGCUUUAUGGGCCUGAGACCGUCCAAGUAGGCUUUAUGGGCCUGUGACCCUCCAAGUAGGCUUUAUGGGCCUGGAGUUGGGAGAAACUUUUUUUUUUCGGAGUUGUAAAAAGUCAGGAUGGCAACGGGUGAAAGAUCGGUAUGGUUGGCUAGAGGGGGGUUGAAUAGGCGACUAACAAAUUUUAAUCUUUUUUUUUCUAGAAAGAUACAAACACUUAACCUACGGUUUACUAAAUUUUCUAAAGGUAAUGCAACCCUAAGAUGAAGUGCAAUAGCCGAAGCAACUAGAUAACAAAAAUGUAAAGGGUAAGAAUGGAUACCACACGAGAGAAGAAGAUUUCACCAGAGUUCCACCGAUUGGGAUAGGUG
This 457-nucleotide long non-coding RNA is filed under the name Brachypodium distachyon (stiff brome). RNAcentral describes it as "long non-coding RNA (BDIS_LNC002651)". Lineage: Eukaryota; Viridiplantae; Streptophyta; Magnoliopsida; Poales; Poaceae. The record is from RNAcentral.